Long non-coding RNA from Dermacentor albipictus, 677 nucleotides. RefSeq lists it as uncharacterized. Lineage: Eukaryota; Metazoa; Arthropoda; Arachnida; Ixodida; Ixodidae. The record is from RefSeq and is a predicted model, not a curated record.
GGGCACCUGUGACGCUAAAAGGAGCGUUUUCCGAGUACGCCUAGAAAGGGAUGACAAGAUUUUGUGAACCAGAGGCACCUCCACAUAUGCACCUGCGGCACUUCUGCAGCCUCAACAGCACGGCAAAGUACCUGAUGAGCAUGCUGUGACAAGCUGCUAUAGGUAUGGCUGGACCUGGAGAAGGAGUGUAAGCAGACCAUGCUAUGUUGCUGAUCUGCGCUGAUCUCCACAUCCAAGUUGGUCCCGCGACAGUUGGGCGCCAUUGUGCCUUGCUUCAUUGACAAGGUGAUAUAAUAUGGUGCCCUGCUCGCUCUCACCCAAGCAACCCACUCCAGCGGUCUUCUCUCGGCAGACUGGAUGCAUCGAAAUACCAUUAGAAGGUCCAAUAAACAGUGCUUGGGACAUUUAUGACAUGCUUUUAUUUAAGCCGGAGGACUUCAGGCUUAAUGAAAGCUCAAGUGGGUGUACAGAAAUACCUACACUGCCUGGAGAAAUAUAGAAGUGACCAUCCAAUGAUGCCACCUGCACCACAUCCGGAGAACCACCUUGCUUCCCUGCGAAAGCACCGUUGGAGCUUUGUUUUACACAAGCAGGACGCCAGGGCAAGCGAGUAGAAAAGUAAAUACAGUACAAGUCCAGUGAUGCUUUUUCAAUAAAGUGUGAUGAUAUGCUACGUA